AACGAACGCUGGCGGCAGGCCUAACACAUGCAAGUCGAGCGAGGACUUCGGUUCUAGCGGCGGACGGGUGAGUAACGCGUGGGAAUGUGCCCUUCUCUACGGAAUAGCCCUGGGAAACUGGGAGUAAUACCGUAUACGCCCUUUCGGGGAAAGAUUUAUCGGAGAAGGAUCAGCCCGCGUUGGAUUAGGUAGUUGGUGGGGUAAUGGCCUACCAAGCCGACGAUCCAUAGCUGGUUUGAGAGGAUGAUCAGCCACACUGGGACUGAGACACGGCCCAGACUCCUACGGGAGGCAGCAGUGGGGAAUCUUAGACAAUGGGGGCAACCCUGAUCUAGCCAUGCCGCGUGAGUGAUGAAGGCCUUAGGGUUGUAAAGCUCUUUCAGCUGGGAAGAUAAUGACGGUACCAGCAGAAGAAGCCCCGGCUAACUCCGUG
RNAcentral lists this ribosomal RNA (433 nucleotides) under uncultured bacterium. RNAcentral describes it as "partial 16S ribosomal RNA". It matches the Rfam family "Bacterial small subunit ribosomal RNA", at positions 29 to 507 of the family's 1533-position model. The record is from RNAcentral.